AAGUCGUAACAAGGUUUCCGUAGGUGAACCUGCGGAAGGAUCAUUAACACUUCUCUAAAAACAACAAACUUCAUUGUUCUAGCCCUCACAAGGGGUUAGGACAUAUGAAACCCUAUACACUAUGCGAACCCGGGGCUGGGAGAAUGUCUCUGUAUGCUUUCGUCAUACCUAGCUUCUUUCAUCGACCCCACAAACCUUUUGUCCAUUUUCAUUUACUUUAACCCUAACAACAACAUAAUGCUUUACUGACUGACUGAGACUCUUUACCGAGUCUCGUUGUUCUUCGAAGGAAGAGCAAUGAAAACUUUUCAUUAUUGAAAAAACAAAAAAACAACUCUUAGCAACGGAUAUCUUGGUUCUC
This 361-nucleotide unclassified non-coding RNA is filed under the name fungal sp. RNAcentral's name for it is "partial internal transcribed spacer region". The stretch from base 1 to 46 matches the Rfam family "Eukaryotic small subunit ribosomal RNA", at positions 1786 to 1831 of the family's 1831-position model. Lineage: Eukaryota; Fungi. The record is from RNAcentral.